UACAGAGGGUGCGAGCGUUAAUCGGAAUUACUGGGCGUAAAGCGCGCGUAGGCGGUCUUGUAAGUCGGGUGUGAAAGCCCCGGGCUCAACCUGGGAACUGCAUUCGAGACUGCAGGACUGGAGUAUUGGAGAGGGCAGCGGAAUUUCCGGUGUAGCGGUGAAAUGCGUAGAUAUCGGAAGGAACAUCAGUGGCGAAAGCGGCUGCCUGGCCAAAUACUGACGCUCAUGUGCGAAAGCGUGGGGAGCAAACGGG
RNAcentral lists this ribosomal RNA (253 nucleotides) under uncultured bacterium. RNAcentral describes it as "partial 16S ribosomal RNA". It matches the Rfam family "Bacterial small subunit ribosomal RNA", at positions 524 to 776 of the family's 1533-position model. The record is from RNAcentral.